AUUGAACGCUGGCGGAAUGCUUUACACAUGCAAGUCGAACGGCAGCAUAGGUGCUUGCACCUGAUGGCGAGUGGCGAACGGGUGAGUAAUAUAUCGGAACGUGCCCAGUCGUGGGGGAUAACGUAGCGAAAGCUACGCUAAUACCGCAUACGAUCUAUGGAUGAAAGCGGGGGACCUUCGGGCCUCGCGCGAUUGGAGAGGCCGAUAUCAGAUUAGGUAGUUGGUGAGGUAAAGGCCCACCAAGCCGACGAUCUGUAGCUGGUCUGAGAGGACGACCAGCCACACUGGGACUGAGACACGGCCCAGACUCCUACGGGAGGCAGCAGUGGGGAAUUUUGGACAAUGGACGCAAGUCUGAUCCAGCCAUUCCGCGUGCAGGACGAAGGCCUUCGGGUUGUAAACUGCUUUUGUACAGAACGAAAAGGUUUCUAUUAAUACUAGGGGCUCAUGACGGUACUGUAAGAAUAAGCACCGGCUAACUACGUGCCAGCAGCCGCCGUAA
Molecule: ribosomal RNA, 502 nt
Filed under: uncultured bacterium
Lineage: Bacteria
Description: partial 16S ribosomal RNA
Rfam family: Bacterial small subunit ribosomal RNA
Source: RNAcentral